This 254-nucleotide ribosomal RNA is filed under the name uncultured bacterium. RNAcentral describes it as "partial 16S ribosomal RNA". It matches the Rfam family "Bacterial small subunit ribosomal RNA", at positions 524 to 776 of the family's 1533-position model. The record is from RNAcentral.
UACGUAGGGGGCAAGCGUUGUCCGGAUUUAUUGGGCGUAAAGAGCUCGUAGGUGGUUCGGUAAGUCGGAUGUGAAAUCUCCAGGCUCAACCUGGAGGGGUCAUUCGAUACUGCCGUGACUAGAGGUCGGUAGGGGAGUGUGGAAUUCCUGGUGGAGCGGUGAAAUGCGCAGAUAUCGGGAGGAACACCUGUGGCGAAAGCGGCGCACUGGACCAUAACUGACGCUGAUGCGCGAAAGCUAGGGGAGCAAACAGG